AUCCAGCUGACGAGUCCCAAAUCGGACGAAAUUCGCAUCUUGGAU
RNAcentral lists this non-coding RNA (45 nucleotides) under Trichobilharzia regenti. Lineage: Eukaryota; Metazoa; Platyhelminthes; Trematoda; Strigeidida; Schistosomatidae. The record is from RNAcentral.